CAGCUACCUGGUGACAGGAUGCGAAUCUCGAAAGCCGGUCUCAGUUCGGAUUGGAGGCUGAAACUCGCCUCCAUGAAGUUGGAUUCGCUAGUAAUCGCGCAUCAGCCAUGGCGCGGUGAAUACGUUCCCGGGCCUUGUACACACCGCCCGUCAAGCCAUGGGAGUUGGGGGUGCCUGAAGUACGUGACCGCAAGGAGCGUCCUAGGGCAAAACCGAUGACUGGGGCUAAGUCGUAACAAGGUAGC
RNAcentral lists this ribosomal RNA (245 nucleotides) under uncultured bacterium. RNAcentral's name for it is "partial 16S ribosomal RNA". It matches the Rfam family "Bacterial small subunit ribosomal RNA", at positions 1247 to 1500 of the family's 1533-position model. The record is from RNAcentral.